GGCGGGGUAGCUCAGUUGGUAGAGCAAUGGAUAAUCACUGUAGGUUCGAGUCCUACAUCCUUCA
This 64-nucleotide transfer RNA is filed under the name Niastella yeongjuensis. It matches the Rfam family "tRNA". Rfam says of the family: Transfer RNA (tRNA) molecules are approximately 80 nucleotides in length. The record is from Rfam by way of RNAcentral. Lineage: Bacteria; Pseudomonadati; Bacteroidota; Chitinophagia; Chitinophagales; Chitinophagaceae.